RNAcentral lists this unclassified non-coding RNA (377 nucleotides) under soil metagenome. RNAcentral describes it as "partial contains 5.8S ribosomal RNA, internal transcribed spacer 2, and large subunit ribosomal RNA". The stretch from base 1 to 120 matches the Rfam family "5.8S ribosomal RNA", at positions 35 to 154 of the family's 154-position model. The record is from RNAcentral.
GAUGAAGAACGCUGCGAAAUGCGAUAAGUAAUGUGAAUUGCAGAAUUCAGUGAAUCAUCGAAUCUUUGAACGCAUCUUGCGCUCCUUGGUAUUCUGAGGAGCAUGCCUGUUUGAGUGUCAUUAAAUUCUCAACCGCACUGACUUUGAAUUGGUGUGGCUUGGAUUUGGGGGGAAAAUUGUUGUGGGCUUUUUUGUAUAGUCUGCUCCCCUGAAAUUGAUUAGCGGUACCUUUGUGGAACUGUCUACAGGUGUGAUAAUUAUCUACAUCCUAGACAUCUGCUGGAAUGCUGCUUUCUAAACCUUACUUGUAUUGACAAUCUUGACCUCAAAUCAGGUAGGACUACCCGCUGAACUUAAGCAUAUCAAUAAGCGGAGGA